AUGGCCAACGGGAGCCUUGAAGACCGACUUCACAACCACCAGUGUGGUGGUUUGAGUUUAGGCGCAGUGAUCUGCAUAUCAGUUGACAUUGCUUGUGCUCUUGAAUACCUACAUAACCAGUGCAUCCCACCGGUUGUUCACUGCGACCUAAAACCAAGCAACAUACUUUUCGACAAUGAUGAUACUGCACGUGUCUGCGACUUUGGUCUGGCAAAGCUAAUUCAUGGGUGUUCAUCUGGAGGGCAGAGCGACACAACAAGCAUAGUUGGACCAAGGGGAUCUAUUGGGUACAUACCUCCUGAGUAUGGCACGGGCAGUGAAAUCUCAACCGAGGGUGACGUCUACAGCUAUGGCAUUGUUCUUUUGGAAAUGCUUACACGGAAACGGCCUACCAAUGAAGAGUUUAUUGAUGGCUUGACGCUCCACAAGUAUGCAGAUGCAUCACUUUCACUUUCACGAACCCAAGACAUUCUUCACCCCAGUCUUACUUUAGAGACGGGAGAUCAGUGUGUCGGUCAUAUCCCAAACUUGCAAGAGCACAACACAUUUGCACUAAAGGAUAUGUGUACUCUCCGGCUCCUUAGACUUGGCUUAUUAUGCUCCGCGAAAUCCCCGAAGGAUCGCCCAGGGAUGCAUGAUGUCUACGGUGAAGUAACUGAAGUAAAAGAGGCAUUUUUCUCUAUUGACAACUGA
RNAcentral lists this ribosomal RNA (693 nucleotides) under Triticum aestivum (bread wheat). Its description in RNAcentral is "partial small subunit ribosomal RNA". The record is from RNAcentral. Lineage: Eukaryota; Viridiplantae; Streptophyta; Magnoliopsida; Poales; Poaceae.